CCUACGGGAGGCUGCAGUGGGGGAUAUUGCACAAUGGGGGGAACCCUGAUGCAGCGACGCCGCGUGGGUGAAGAAGUGUUUCGGCACGUAAAGUUCUGUCAGCAGGGAAGAAAAUGACGGUACCUGACCAAGAAGCCCCGGCUAACUACGUGCCAGCAGCCGCGGUAAUACGUAGGGGGCAAGCGUUAUCCGGAUUUACUGGGUGUAAAGGGGGCGUAGACGGCGAUGCAAGUCUGAUGUGAAAGCCCGGGGCCCAACCCCGGGACUGCUGUUGAAACUGUGUGGCUGGAGUGCAGGAGAGGCAAGCGGAAUUCCUGGUGUAGCGGUGAAAUGCGUAGAUAUCAGGAGGAACACCAGUGGCGAAGGCGGCCUGCUGGACUACGACUGACGUUGAGGCCCGAAAGCGUGGGGAGCAAACAGGAUUAGAUACCCUGGUAGUC
RNAcentral lists this ribosomal RNA (440 nucleotides) under uncultured bacterium. Its description in RNAcentral is "partial 16S ribosomal RNA". It matches the Rfam family "Bacterial small subunit ribosomal RNA", at positions 338 to 795 of the family's 1533-position model. The record is from RNAcentral.